This 544-nucleotide ribosomal RNA is filed under the name uncultured Gigasporaceae. RNAcentral describes it as "SSU rRNA". It matches the Rfam family "Eukaryotic small subunit ribosomal RNA", at positions 548 to 1098 of the family's 1831-position model. Lineage: Eukaryota; Fungi; Glomeromycota; Glomeromycetes; Diversisporales; Gigasporaceae. The record is from RNAcentral.
UUGGAGGGCAAGUCUGGUGCCAGCAGCCGCGGUAAUUCCAGCUCCAAUAGCGUAUAUUAAAGUUGUUGCAGUUAAAAAGCUCGUAGUUGAAUUUCGGGGUUCUACCGUUGGUCGGGCAAUAGUCUGUACUGGCGUGUAGAAUUUCUACCUUCUGGGGAACUAUCAUGUUAUUUAUUUAGCGUGGUAGGAAACCAGGACCUUUACCUUGAAAAAUUAGAGUGUUCAAAGCAGGCUUACGUCUGAAUACAUUAGCAUGGAAUAAUAAAAUAGGACGGUGGUCCUGUUUUGUUGGUUUCUGAGUCACCGUAAUGAUUAAUAGGGAUAGUUGGGGGCAUUAGUAUUCAAUUGUCAGAGGUGAAAUUCUUGGAUUUAUUGAAGACUAACUUCUGCGAAAGCAUUUGCCAAGGAUGUUUCCAUUAAUCAAGAACGAAAGUUAGGGGAUCGAAGACGAUCAGAUACCGUCGUAGUCUUAACCAUAAACUAUGCCGACUAGGGAUCGGACGAUGUUAAUUUUUCUUGACUCGUUCGGCACCUUACGGGAAAC